UGUGUGUGGAGUGUGGUGUGUGUGUGGUGUGUGUGUGUGUGUGUGUGUGUGUGUGUGAGAGAGAGAGUGUGUGUGAGUGACUGCAAGCACCGCUUAACAAAUGGCACAUCUACCUCCCUGCUGCAGUAUGCCUAGUGGGUGAGGGUGGGUCAAUGUGGAGAGAGACUACUGAUGAGUGAACAUUAGUUGAACACUGGGAGGUUACUGGAACCGUGCAGUUCUGCGUGUGUGCUGGAACAGUGAGGAGCAUGUUUUUAUGGAGCCAAAGCCUCCCCUCCCCAUCAAGACAAGAGUGCGUGAGGUACUGAAGACAGUAGGGUGGACGCACGGAAACCACACUGGAGGGACUCUGCACUCCCAGCACUAAUCAUUAAACAGAAUCGCCAUGGCAGCGUCAUUGCUCCGGUCUGGCGAGCAGAAUCUGAGGAGCGUGCUGACGGGACGGAAAAACACGUCAGGCAGGACUCGGCUGCGUGGGAGGAGGAGUCAGCUAGGCACUAAAAGAAUCCAAACUUUUCCUGGAACACUCUCAAUCCUUGUUCUCUGAAAACUUCCCCCGCCAUCUUCAAUUUCACAUUGUUCUGUAGUUUCAAGGGGGCUGAAUUUGAGAGUGGCCUGCUAGAAGAUAUGACCAAACCACACCACAGGAGCUAGAUACUGGCCGUGGCAUUGUUCUUUUUUUAAUCUCGGUUAGAGUAUUUCUUUUUUGUGAGUGUUAAAACCAUGUGAAAGAUGAAAAUGUAGAAAUAAAUAAUUUUUAUAAA
This is a long non-coding RNA of Alosa sapidissima (American shad), 764 nucleotides long. RefSeq lists it as uncharacterized. The record is from RefSeq and is a predicted model, not a curated record. The transcript is spliced from 2 exons. Lineage: Eukaryota; Metazoa; Chordata; Actinopteri; Clupeiformes; Clupeidae.